CACGUAGGGGGCGAGCGUUGUCCGGAUUUAUUGGGCGUAAAGAGCGUGUAGGCGGCCAGGUAGGUCGGUUGUGAAAACUGGAGGCUCAACCUUCAGAGGUCGACCGAAACCAUCUGGCUAGAGUCCGGGAGAGGAGAGUGGAAUUCCUGGUGUAGCGGUGAAAUGCGCAGAUAUCAGGAAGAACACCCGUGGCGAAGGCGGUUCUCUGGGACGGUACUGACGCUGAGACGCGAAAGCGUGGGGAGCGAACAGG
Molecule: ribosomal RNA, 253 nt
Filed under: uncultured bacterium
Lineage: Bacteria
Description: partial 16S ribosomal RNA
Rfam family: Bacterial small subunit ribosomal RNA
Source: RNAcentral